GAUGAACGCUGGCGGCGUGCCUAAUACAUGCAAGUCGAGCGAACAGACGAGGAGCUUGCUUCUCUGACGUUAGCGGCGGACGGGUGAGUAACACGUGGAUAACCUACCUAUAAGACUGGGAUAACUUCGGGAGACCGGAGCUAAUACCGGAUAAUAUAUUGAACCGCAUGGUUCAAUAGUGAAAGACGGUUUUGCUGUCACUUAUAGAUGGAUCCGCGCCGCAUUAGCUAGUUGGUAAGGUAACGGCUUACCAAGGCAACGAUGCGUAGCCGACCUGAGAGGGUGAUCGGCCACACUGGAACUGAGACACGGUCCAGACUCCUACGGGAGGCAGCAGUAGGGAAUCUUCCGCAAUGGGCGAAAGCCUGACGGAGCAACGCCGCGUGAGUGAUGAAGGUCUUCGGAUCGUAAAACUCUGUUAUUAGGGAAGAACAAAUGUGUAAGUAACUAUGCACGUCUUGACGGUACCUAAUCAGAAAGCCACGGCUAACUACGUG
This 497-nucleotide ribosomal RNA is filed under the name uncultured bacterium. RNAcentral describes it as "partial 16S ribosomal RNA". It matches the Rfam family "Bacterial small subunit ribosomal RNA", at positions 28 to 507 of the family's 1533-position model. The record is from RNAcentral.